This 253-nucleotide ribosomal RNA is filed under the name uncultured bacterium. Its description in RNAcentral is "partial 16S ribosomal RNA". It matches the Rfam family "Bacterial small subunit ribosomal RNA", at positions 524 to 776 of the family's 1533-position model. The record is from RNAcentral.
UACGGAGGGUGCAAGCGUUAUCCGGAAUCACUGGGUUUAAAGGGUGCGUAGGCGGUUGUAUAAGUCAGGGGUGAAAUGUUAUCGCUUAACGAUAAAAUGGCCUCUGAAACUGUAUAACUUGAAUAGGGUUGAGGUAGGCGGAAUGUGACAUGUAGCGGUGAAAUGCAUAGAUAUGUCAUGGAACACCAAUUGCGAAGGCAGCUUACUAGACCUUGAUUGACGCUGAGGCACGAAAGCGUGGGGAGCGAACAGG